GCCCAUUCCUCUGCUGGAUCCAGUGGUUUUCCACCAUAACCCACUUAGAUUUAGCCCACCUACUUUUGAGAAUUUCAAUACUAUAAUUUUAUUGAUUUUGAAUGUAAUCAGCAGUAAAACUGUAAUUUCAGGCAGCUCAAAUCAUUCCUCAGCAGAAAAAGAUUGGAAAACACCGUGAAGAAUAUCUACUUCUGGCUUUAGAGAGAGAAUUCCACUGAAAGAGACGAGAGAGACGAGAAAUGAGCGAGAUCUGUAGCGAGAGAGUAUUCCGGCUCCUGGCAUUCUUUGCUUCGAUUGCUCAGUUUUUUGUUUCAGCUUAUUCUGAUGACUUGUCAUCUUCAAAUAAUGAAACAAAAGCAGAACAUCCUCGUGGCAGCAAGGGAAAAAUAGUGAUUGUAAUUUUGGUGCUAGUAGCAGCUGCUCUCGUAUCAUUUCUACUUUUCAAAUUUUGGCAAAGAAAGAAACGUGAAGAACAGUAUGCUCGUUUACUCAAGUUGUUUGAGGAGGAUGAUGAGUUAGAGCUUGAGCUUGGUCUUCGGGAUUGAGGGUGUUUUGCUUUUGUAUUUUUAUGUUUAUCGAGUGAAGAUUCACGAGGGGCGUGCUGGAUAUCGUGGGGAACGCAAACAAGACUUAUAGUAAGAUACGGAUACCCCCUCUCAUUUGUAUGAGAAAGACUGGGGCAGAAGUUGGAGGUAUUCUUUCUGUAGACUGUUUAUACAUAUGAUGAUAUACUUUGUGCAUAAUCUAUAACUAGAGUAUAUAUGUUGAAACUCUUAUUCUUGUGGAAAGCCUAGUCUUUGCGAUUGUGCUGUUGUAUCAGUAGGCUAUCCUUGCCCUUAUGUAAAGAGAGGUUAUGGCUCCAAAUUUCAUAUUUAUUCUUAAAAAUCACAUCUAUGCCAUUUGCAAUUAUAACU
Salvia miltiorrhiza (redroot sage) is the source of this 914-nucleotide long non-coding RNA. RefSeq lists it as uncharacterized. Lineage: Eukaryota; Viridiplantae; Streptophyta; Magnoliopsida; Lamiales; Lamiaceae. The record is from RefSeq and is a predicted model, not a curated record. The transcript is spliced from 3 exons.